This 57-nucleotide ribosomal RNA is filed under the name Cactus witches'-broom phytoplasma. RNAcentral's name for it is "partial 23S ribosomal RNA". The record is from RNAcentral. Lineage: Bacteria; Bacillati; Mycoplasmatota; Mollicutes; Acholeplasmatales; Acholeplasmataceae.
ACAUUAAAGGAAAUAAGAGCGCACAGUAGAUGCCUAGGCACUAAGAGCCGAUGAAGG